GGAGGGUGCAAGCGUUAAUCGGAAUUACUGGGCGUAAAGCGCACGCAGGCGGUUUGUUAAGUCAGAUGUGAAAUCCCCGCGCUUAACGUGGGAACUGCAUUUGAAACUGGCAAGCUAGAGUCUUGUAGAGGGGGGUAGAAUUCCAGGUGUAGCGGUGAAAUGCGUAGAGAUCUGGAGGAAUACCGGUGGCGAAGGCGGCCCCCUGGACAAAGACUGACGCUCAGGUGCGAAAGCGUGGGGAGCAAACAGGAUUAGAUACCCUGGUAGUCCACGCUGUAAACGAUGUCGAUUUGGAGGUUGUGCCCUUGAGGCGUGGCUUCCGGAGCUAACGCGUUAAAUCGACCGCCUGGGGAGUACGGCCGCAAGGUUA
RNAcentral lists this ribosomal RNA (370 nucleotides) under uncultured bacterium. RNAcentral's name for it is "bacterial SSU rRNA". It matches the Rfam family "Bacterial small subunit ribosomal RNA", at positions 527 to 896 of the family's 1533-position model. The record is from RNAcentral.